Molecule: ribosomal RNA, 305 nt
Filed under: uncultured bacterium
Lineage: Bacteria
Description: bacterial SSU rRNA
Rfam family: Bacterial small subunit ribosomal RNA
Source: RNAcentral
UUCCUACGGGAGGCAGCAGUGGGGAAUAUUGCACAAUGGGGGAAACCCUGAUGCAGCGACGCCGCGUGAGUGAAGAAGUAUCUCGGUAUGUAAAGCUCUAUCAGCAGGAAAGAUAAUGACGGUACCUGACUAAGAAGCCCCGGCUAACUACGUGCCAGCAGCCGCGGUAAUACGUAGGGGGCAAGCGUUAUCCGGAUUUACUGGGUGUAAAGGGAGCGUAGACGGCAGAGCAAGUCUGGAGUGAAAUGCCGGGGCUCAACCCCGGAACUGCUUUGGAAACUGUGCGGCUCGAGUGCGGGAGAGGU